AAUAUUGGACAAUGGGGGCAACCCUGAUCCAGCCAUGCCGCGUGUGUGAAGAAGGUCCUCGGAUUGUAAAGCACUUUAAGUUGGGAGGAAGGGCUUUAGGUUAAUACCCUGAAGUUGUGACGACACCAACAGCAUAAGCACCGGCGAACUCGGUUCCAGCAGCCGCGGUAAUACAGAGGGUGCAAGCGUUAAUCGGAAUUACUGGGCGUAAAGCGAGCGUAGGUGGUUCAGUAAGAUGGGUGUGAAAUCCCCGGGCUUAACCUGGGAACUGCUUUCAUAACUGCUGAGCUAGAGUACGGUAGAGGGUAGUGGAAUUUCCUGUGUAGCGGUGAAAUGCGUAGAUAUAGGAAGGAACACCAGUGGCGAAGGCGACUACCUGGACUGAUACUGACACUGAGGUGCGAAAGCGUGGGGAGCAAAC
Molecule: ribosomal RNA, 421 nt
Filed under: uncultured bacterium
Lineage: Bacteria
Description: partial 16S ribosomal RNA
Rfam family: Bacterial small subunit ribosomal RNA
Source: RNAcentral